Non-coding RNA from Cinara cedri, 260 nucleotides. The record is from the annotation of a GenBank genome assembly. Lineage: Eukaryota; Metazoa; Arthropoda; Insecta; Hemiptera; Aphididae.
CAGACGUGUCAGCGAAUAAAUAAUUUUAAAAAAAAUAAAGAAAAAGAAAAACGCGUUAUUAUUAAUCUUAUACGUAAUUUGAAACAAAAACUCUAAUAAUUAAUGCGGUUUUUAUGUUUAAGUUUUUGUUUUUCGUCUGGUUCGAGUUAAUUAGACGACCGUAGACUCGCAAUGACAAACGGUACAGUAAUCCAUACAUGUAUCAUUAUUAAGCCGAUGACGACGUUGUAAAAUGUUUUCACCAUUUUUAACUAACCGCG